UACAGAGGGUGCAAGCGUUGUUCGGAAUCAUUGGGCGUAAAGGGCGUGUAGGCGGUCUGUUAAGUCAUGUGUGAAAUCCCUCGGCUCAACCGGGGAACGACGCAUGAAACUGACAAGCUAGAGUACCAAAGAGGGGGGUGGAAUUCCUGGUGUAGCGGUGAAAUGCGCAGAUAUCAGGAAGAACACCCGUGGCGAAGGCGGCUCUCUGGGACGGUACUGACGCUGAGACGCGAAAGCGUGGGGAGCGAACAGG
Molecule: ribosomal RNA, 253 nt
Filed under: uncultured bacterium
Lineage: Bacteria
Description: partial 16S ribosomal RNA
Rfam family: Bacterial small subunit ribosomal RNA
Source: RNAcentral